This 535-nucleotide long non-coding RNA is filed under the name Piliocolobus tephrosceles (Ugandan red Colobus). RNAcentral's name for it is "lncRNA (ENSPTEG00000029148.1)". The record is from RNAcentral. Lineage: Eukaryota; Metazoa; Chordata; Mammalia; Primates; Cercopithecidae.
AUGUAUUUUUACGUGUUAAAUUAUAUAAGUAAUACAAAUUUUCACUAUCUUUUAAAUCUAUUUUAUCAAGAUUACUCACAUAUUGACCAUACUCUUUUUUUCUAUUUUUUUUUUUUUUUUUUUUUUUUUUUUUUUUUUUUUUUUUUCUUUUUUUUUUUUUUUUUUUUUUGUCUUUUUCGUAUUCUAGCAUUCUUUUUAUUACCAUCCUUACGAUCACUAUCGUUACAUUUGUUAACAUUACCUCUUACCACUCCUGACUUAUUUACCAAACAAUCUUUCAUCAAAAUAUUUCUAAUAUUUAUCAAAUUUAAUCUUAUUUCUUUAUUCGUUUGUACAAUCAAUUGUAUGUACGAAUUUAUGUACGUACAUAGUAUAAUAAUAAAAACGGUUAUCACUUUUGUACUUAAUGCACUACUAGUAGUGCUACUAUUACUUCCAGACUUAUGUUCCAUAUUAACACUCGUUUCGUUAUCAAGAUUGGAUAAUAAUUCUAAAUAAGAAUAAAUACUACAUAAUACAUUUUUAGGACUAUGAA